AGGUGCUUCAGGUGCUCCUCACCCAUCUCCAGCCCACUGCGGGCCUCCCCUGGCUGGGCCAGGACACCCUGCAGAGGAGUGCACAGACAGACGAGGCUUCAUAGUCUCUGCCAACCCCCUCCAGAACCGAUCUACCCCUGCCUCAAGCACCCAGAGGCUCCCACGCCGUGGCUGGAGGAGCCCACACUCACCUUGGGGCUCUCCUGGAAGGGCUCAGAGCUAAUCGUGCCGUCUGCUCCUCACUCCAUCUCAGCUUGUGCUCUGCCUGUCGGGAGCUGAGGGAGGAGCUGCUGUCUCCCCACGACACCAAACCAUGGGAGGAGAAGGCUCCUUGCCUGGGAGAGGCUGCUCCGGGUCUUCAGGCUGGUCCAGUGCUUCUGAGCAGUGAGGAAGGAGAGAUCAGGACAGCUUCUGUCUGCAGACACCUGAUGUUUCAGCUCCAACAGCAUGUCCUGCCCAGGAGAACAAGGCAGUAACACAGUCCCCUUCACUGUUCCUGCUUUUGCUGCUGGAAAGGAUAGGAAUGCUGGUGGCUCCACUGCCUGUGAUGUCAGGAGGGAGAGUGGCCGGAGUUGUCUCUGUACCUGUGAGGAUGCUGGAGCCAAAAGUGCCAGUGGGUCAGGAGAGAAGGGUCCCCACAGGGCGUCCUGCAGAGCUUCCCUGUGCAGGGCCAGGGUGCUCUGAGCCCAGCACCCCCUCCAGCCUGUGGGGAUGUGGAAAAGCAGACAGGGAAAGCCUCUCAGAAAGUCCCCUCAGCACUGCUCAAGGCCCCCGUCUCUGCGGUGAUGAGCAGCUGUGUGGUGGAUUUACACUGAGAGAUGGAAGAAAGGGAAACUGCUCUGACAUCUCCUUGCUCUCUGCACUGGUGGGUACUGAAAACUAGAAGUCUUUUCCCCCAGCCCACAGCUUUUGCUGCAUGAGGGCAAUAUUGCCUUCAGCACUGAUGAAGAUGUUAGACCUAAGGGAGGGUUAUGACUCUCUUGUGAUGCUGCAGCUACACUACACCCACCCUCUUAAUGAUGUAAAUCUUUCACAAAUCAAGGACAACCAUCUCAUUGGAGUGAAUGUAAGGACCUCUAUGGUCCAAGACCACCCUCCCAAGCAGGCACUAGGGAUGCUGUGGGUGCUCCCCAUCAGCUCAGGGAGCAGAGGCAGGAGGACUUCCCGUUGUCCUCACGAUGCAGCCCCAGGAGCUGCAGCACCAGGAGUCUCCCUUGAGUUGUACGACACCCACCAGUGUGAGUCAACAUGAACAUUAAUAACAAACAGAAAAAUCCUAGUGCUCCCUCCCCCGCCUUUCCCAAUGUGCUGUCGAGCAGGACGCGGGCUCACUUGGGAGUCACAGGGUUGGGGGUUGCGGCCAGGAGCUCGGGUCCUUUUCACCUGCCCCAUUACCUAGGGACGAUGCUGUUGGGAGCAGGCUGGGGGAUGCAGGUGGCACCUCAGCAGGGAGAUGUCCUUGGCCCAGACGGAGCUAGGGGACACCUGAGGGACUGUGGGAGCGCACUGCCAGCAUGCGAGCACCUGGAGAGAAGCACCGAGCGCUGCCUGCUCAGUCAUGCAGGUGGCUGAAUAAAAGAAAUAAAUAACCCAGCCGUGAAAAACAAGCACUGGCCAAAACCUUCCAAGAAGACGUCUGUACUUCCCAGCUGCAGUCCCCGUUCCCUGGCUCCGUUUACCCUCUGGGAACGACAGCAGGGAUGGCAGCUCCUGCAGCCCAGCAAAGAUGCAAACCUCUCCCUCCUCCAGCCCUCCAAGUGCUCCGCAAUGCCUUUCAUCAGCAGAAUAAUUAGAAAUCUAAUUCCUCUUUCUCCCGCUUAGCUAAUUGUCUGUGGACGAUUUGAUUGUAAGAGCGUCCAGUGAUGCAGAAUAACCAUCUUAUGUCUGCUAGACAUUGCCUUCACAAUUAGCACUACUGAUUGCAUUGCUCUGUUCUCUCACCUGCCGGGUCCCGGUGGAGCAGGGGAGCGGCUCUCACCUGGCUCUCAGGGUGACAAGGCCGUGCGCUCCCUUUCCCAGCACCAUCCCUCAGCUUGUCGUGUCCCAUCUGGAUGAGCUCUGCUCUCCAGCGUGGCUCCCGUGCCGCUCUCUGCUCCGCAGGGUGAACCCCACAACUCCCAGCCGGGACCCAGAAGGGUUCCCCCUAAACACCAGUGAGCUCUCACCAAGGAAUGAGCUUAUCCCUGCCUGCUGGGGGCUCGAAAUUCACAUUGAACAACCCCAAAAGGUUCUGCAAGAGGAGUCAAUUCUCUGAAUAGUUUGUUUGGAGGAAAGAAAAAAAAAAAAUCCCCCUCAAAAGAUCAAAACAUUUCAUUUCAGCAUUUUCAGAGUGAAAUGUUUUGAUUUUUUUUCCCCUCUUCCAAAUGACUUUGUUUCAAAGUUUCCCUUAAUUUCAUUUUUCUAAACAUCAAAAAAAUCUGCAAGAAAUGGCUGUGGUUGGAAGGAAAUGUGUUGGCAUGGUCACAACAAAACCUUUUGUUUAACACCUCCCCCUUCAAGAAUGCCCCUCCCCUCCUUGUUUUUUUUAUUUAAUUUAUUAGCAUUUCCAGGGAUUUUCACUUGCAGGCCAGCUCUGAAUUCCAUCUGGUUGUGCUUUCCCAGUCACGAAGGCGUCGCAGCUCUGUUGCUUUGCUCUACAGAGGGACAAAGCUCUCUUGAGGGCCUGCAGUCCCAGUCUGCCCACAGA
Molecule: long non-coding RNA, 2686 nt
Organism: Cuculus canorus (common cuckoo)
Lineage: Eukaryota; Metazoa; Chordata; Aves; Cuculiformes; Cuculidae
Exons: 3
Source: RefSeq, a predicted model, not a curated record